Molecule: ribosomal RNA, 433 nt
Filed under: uncultured bacterium
Lineage: Bacteria
Description: partial 16S ribosomal RNA
Rfam family: Bacterial small subunit ribosomal RNA
Source: RNAcentral
AACGAACGCUGGCGGCAUGCCUAACACAUGCAAGUCGAGCGAGACCUUCGGGUCUAGCGGCGGACGGGUGAGUAACGCGUGGGAACGUGCCCUUUUCUACGGAAUAACCUCGGGAAACUGAUCCUAAUACCGUAUACGCCCUUUGGGGGAAAGAUUUAUCGGAGAAGGAUCGGCCCGCGUUGGAUUAGGUAGUUGGUAGGGUAAUGGCCUACCAAGCCUACGAUCCAUAGCUGGUUUGAGAGGAUGAUCAGCCACACUGGGACUGAGACACGGCCCAGACUCCUACGGGAGGCAGCAGUGGGGAAUCUUAGACAAUGGGGGCAAGCCUGAUCCAGCCAUGCCGCGUGAGUGAUGAAGGCCUUAGGGUUGUAAAGCUCUUUUAGCUGGGAAGAUAAUGACGGUACCAGGAGAAGAAGCCCCGGCUAACUCCGUG